Long non-coding RNA from Fundulus heteroclitus (mummichog), 1323 nucleotides. RefSeq lists it as uncharacterized. The transcript is spliced from 3 exons. NCBI's taxonomy places the organism in Eukaryota, Metazoa, Chordata, Actinopteri, Cyprinodontiformes, Fundulidae. The record is from RefSeq and is a predicted model, not a curated record.
UAAAUCAUCGACAGGGUCAGGCUGGGCCGAGAGCUAAGGCUCAUCUCGCUUUGAAUGAGCAGCGGCAGGUCCCUCACUGUCACUACGCUGUGAACAGAUGGUGAGCAUCCCUGCCUAUUAUACCCAGACCUGUGUUUGUAAAGGGAAGCAGCUGAGGGAUAAACAGAGAGAGAGAGAGAGAGAGAGAAAGGCACCAAGAAGAAAGACCAGCGACUAUAUGCUCACACAGAUUUUAUAACCCUGUAUGAGCCAAGGAACGUAACUCCCUGUAUGCAAGUCGAUCAUCGCCGCAACUUGACAUCCUGACCCGGACAUUUAAUUUAUUGAUCUUCAUUUUAUACGGAUGUAAAGACCUUUUGCUCUUUUAAAUUAAUCCAGGUUAAUUUGGCCAGGCCCCCUAUCCCACCCAGCAUGAAUGGGCCCUCUGUUGGGCAGAGCAGGCCCUGGCCACCCAGUUUUAUGGGAAUCUGCAGUGAAUUAGAAAAUCUGUCAAUGCGAGAGGAGCUGUGCGGCGCGGAUAUGCCGUGUCACUCCACCUGUAAAAGAACUGCUCUUUGUCCAUUAUCUCCCAGGCUUACCUGAGGAGAGUUAACCUUGAGGUCAAUAACAUCUCCAUGGUGUUUCAUGACUGGCUGGGCUUGGGCUGGGGGGUCUGAGGAGAGCCAUUGUUAGAAUUCAGGCUGCAGACCCACAUUUCCUCCAGCUUUUGCUCUCCUCAUCAAAUACCUCUGGGAAACAGAUCUGUAAGGAGCAGCGGAGAGAGCCGUAAAGAUGCGAUCACUUUCACAGGAAAGGGUGGCCACUGUGCUAGUUUGUCUUCAUUGUGCUUAAUAUAAACACCUCAUUUCUUUGCAUAAAAUUACACCUUCCAGGUAUGUUUCAGCAUGAUUUAAUUUCUUGGCACCAUAGAAGACUUUAUCCUGGCAAUGUUUAACUCAAUCAUCAUAGCUACAUAUAAUGCACAGCUCCAGACCCAAAAUCUUUCCAUGAGCCAGUCUAUAGACAGAAAACUAAAAAUUCAGAGCCUUUUGGCUGCCUUAGGUCUUUUACUCAUUUCAUGUGACUCUGGCUUUUUUUUUCCUUGAGUAGGUUUUCAUUUAAGCAUGUUGGUAUUGCAGGCUAAGCAUUGGAUUGGUGUGUGAUUAGUUUUUCUGCUGCCCUUGCUAUAAUUUCCCGCCUGCUGGAAAUAACGAGUAAGAUUAAAAUAAAUACUUUGUCUGCCAGGCAGAAAACAACCAUUUUGUCACUGUGGUGUAUAUAGUGGUUUGCAAAACCAUUCACAGUCCUUUAACUUUCCCACAUGUUGUCACGCCACAACCACAA